RNAcentral lists this ribosomal RNA (468 nucleotides) under uncultured bacterium. RNAcentral describes it as "partial 16S ribosomal RNA". It matches the Rfam family "Bacterial small subunit ribosomal RNA", at positions 28 to 507 of the family's 1533-position model. The record is from RNAcentral.
GACGAACGCUGGCGGCGUGCUUAACACAUGCAAGUCGAACGGAAAGGCCCUGCUUUUGUGGGGUGCUCGAGUGGCGAACGGGUGAGUAACACGUGAGUAACCUGCCCUUGACUUUGGGAUAACUUCAGGAAACUGGGGCUAAUACCGGAUAGGAGCUCCUGCUGCAUGGUGGGGGUUGGAAAGUUUCGGCGGUUGGGGAUGGACUCGCGGCUUAUCAGCUUGUUGGUGGGGUAGUGGCUUACCAAGGCUUUGACGGGUAGCCGGCCUGAGAGGGUGACCGGCAACAUUGGGACUGAGAUACGGCCCAGACUCCUACGGGAGGCAGCAGUGGGGAAUAUUGCACAAUGGGCGGAAGACUGAUGCAGCAACGCCGCGUGCGGGAUGACGGCCUUCGGGUUGUAAACCGCUUUCGCCUGUGACGAAGCGUGAGUGACGGUAAUGGGUAAAGAAGCACCGGCUAACUACGUG